Molecule: long non-coding RNA, 1280 nt
Organism: Uloborus diversus
Lineage: Eukaryota; Metazoa; Arthropoda; Arachnida; Araneae; Uloboridae
Exons: 3
Source: RefSeq, a predicted model, not a curated record
AAAGGAUCUUACUACGCUGUUGAGUGUUUGUUGACAUCUUUGCCGCUCAGGGUUUUUCUGUUGUGAAACUUCAUGAAUUCUGCAUUGCAUUUAUAAAGUGUCCUGUGCCUCGAAGGAUAGCGAAUAGGUCAACGCGAUUGAAGUGAUCUGAUCUUAGGUCAAUGAAUCUGAAGCGAAGCGAGGCCGCGAACUAACUAAUGAAUGAAGGUGCUCGACUGGACAUUGCUUCACGCUCAGUGAUUACCAAGAACAGCAACAAAUAAUAAUUGAAUCCUUUUUGGAUUUUUAAGGAUUUAGAACUGAACUGUUGUAUUCCAUUACCAAUCAAGCAUCUGUCAACAUGACCAAAGAAACGCCCAAUAAGUCAAUGAAUAACUUGGAAAAUAAUAGAAGCAUAUUUUAGAACACAUUCUUAAUAAAAGAACUUUUACUCCAGAACAUGACUACAAAUUACGGGUACUAUUACGAGCGCCCGAAGACGCCAAAGAGGUGGUUCAACCUUGGCGUCUUCUCCUGCACCUUAGGAGGCCUCAUCUUCACCAUUGGAAUCAUUCUUGUUGUUUUAGGGUCAUCACCAUUUGAACCGGAAGCCUUGUGGAUUUCUGGCAUUGUAUUGUUAUUGAUUGGAGGCCUCUUGUUCUUCAUGGGCAUUGGAUCAAUCGGUCUAUAUCAGUCCAGAGAGGACAGGAGGAAGAAAGAACUGCAAAAAGCAGCAGCUAGGCAUUAUGUGUCUAGCGUUAGAGGCGGAGGGUCUAGUUUGUUGACAUUGGUGGAACCAAUGUAACUGGAAAAGUAACAUCUAUACUUUCAUGUAAAUAUGUGUUCAUUUCAUUUUACAGUGUGCCCAAAAAUGAAUGAUAGAUUUCAAAAAAGAAAAGGGAAGCGAUAGAAAUCUAUCGGAAAAGUUCGGGGAAGCACGGGAUUUUAUCCUACCCAUUUGCAUAUUUAGUUAGCAUUUCCGACAACAGUUGGCGCUACAGGUAUACGAGAACUAAAAUUUGAAAUCGUAUUAUAUCCAUUCGGUGUUUUAGUACACAAUAAGUUUUCCUGUGCUAGUGAAAAUGGGAACAUCAUGCUACAAAUGAAAGUAUUCAAUACUCUGCAAGCAAUAUACAAUCAAAAGCUUUUGGAUAACUUAUUAUGCAUCAAGUGCUUAUGAUUAUUGCUGCAUAAUUUUUGCUGUUGAUGUUUGUAAUUAAUUUAUGAUUGUAAAUUACGCUUCAUUGCAUAUUUCAUUGAUGCUCAAAUAUGUUUUUCAUAUGUUAAUAUGUUGACACAGG